This 252-nucleotide ribosomal RNA is filed under the name uncultured bacterium. RNAcentral describes it as "partial 16S ribosomal RNA". It matches the Rfam family "Bacterial small subunit ribosomal RNA", at positions 524 to 776 of the family's 1533-position model. The record is from RNAcentral.
UACGAAGGGGGCUAGCGUUGCUCGGAAUCACUGGGCGUAAAGGGUGCGUAGGCGGGUCUUAAGUCGGGGGUGAAAUCCUGGAGCUCAACUCCAGAACUGCCUUUGAUACUGAGGAUCUCGAGUCCGGGAGAGGUGAGUGGAACUCCGAGUGUAGAGGUGAAAUUCGUAGAUAUUCGGAAGAACACCAGUGGCGAAGGCGGCUCACUGGCCCGGUACUGACGCUGAGGUGCGAAAGCGUGGGGAGCAAACAGG